GAAAAAAACAGUUUUCCCAGCUUCUUUUCUACUUUCACAAGGCAACUGCACUGCCAGUAGAAGUUUCUGCAAGAAGAAUGCAAUUUACUUUUGCCAAGACAAAAAAGGAUUAACUUAAUGUGGUGCCGCUCUGCUUGCCAAUAAGUUAUAAUACCUUAGGCUGGAAAGAUUGUGGAAGUCAUCUUGUCCAGCUUUUCCUUCCCAGAAUGGCCUCCCGAAGCAGAGGUUAUCCAGCUUUUGCGGGGAAACUUCCACUGAUCUUUCAAUGGCUCACUUUGGCAUGGUACCAGUUGUUACAGAACUCUUUAUUGAUUUUCAUUUUGUAAUAUCAUUUUAGAGAUUCUAGGUCCAUCUUCUACAUAAGUGCAAGCCUUGGCAUCACAAAGAUCUGGGGUUACAUCUUUCUAACAUGGAAUAUUGUUUAUCCUCACUCAACUCCCACCUGCUCAUUAUUAAAAUGAAAAGAGAAUCUCUAGUACUGUCAGAUCAAGGAACUGGGGACAUGCCGUGGAAUCCAAGUCCAUCAAGGCUGGGGUCUGUGUUCUCUAUAUUAACUGAAGAUAAGGAUUUCAGGAUCCAGAAUAAGCUCCUUUCAACUUACGACUGCAACAAUGAAACUUAA
Molecule: long non-coding RNA, 622 nt
Filed under: Macaca nemestrina (pig-tailed macaque)
Lineage: Eukaryota; Metazoa; Chordata; Mammalia; Primates; Cercopithecidae
Description: lncRNA (ENSMNEG00000045669.1)
Source: RNAcentral